UCUUAGCUUGCUAAGGCUGAUGGCGACCGGCGCACGGGUGAGUAACACGUAUCCAACCUGCCGUCUACUCUUGGCCAGCCUUCUGAAAGGAAGAUUAAUCCAGGAUGGCAUCAUGAGUUCACAUGUCCGCAUGAUUAAAGGUAUUUUCCGGUAGACGAUGGGGAUGCGUUCCAUUAGAUAGUAGGCGGGGUAACGGCCCACCUAGUCAACGAUGGAUAGGGGUUCUGAGAGGAAGGUCCCCCACAUUGGAACUGAGACACGGUCCAAACUCCUACGGGAGGCAGCAGUGAGGAAUAUUGGUCAAUGGGCGAUGGCCUGAACCAGCCAAGUAGCGUGAAGGAUGACUGCCCUAUGGGUUGUAAACUUCUUUUAUAAAGGAAUAAAGUCGGGUAUGCAUACCCGUUUGCAUGUACUUUAUGAAUAAGGAUCGGCUAACUCCGUGCCAGCAGCCGCGGUAAUACGGAGGAUCCGAGCGUUAUCCGGAUUUAUUGGGUUUAAAGGGAGCGUAGAUGGAUGUUUAAGUCAGUUGUGAAAGUUUGCGGCUCAACCGUAAAAUUGCAGUUGAUACUGGAUGUCUUGAGUGCAGUUGAGGCAGGCGGAAUUCGUGGUGUAGCGGUGAAAUGCUUAGAUAUCACGAAGAACUCCGAUUGCGAAGGCAGCCUGCUA
RNAcentral lists this ribosomal RNA (666 nucleotides) under uncultured Bacteroidales bacterium. RNAcentral describes it as "bacterial SSU rRNA". It matches the Rfam family "Bacterial small subunit ribosomal RNA", at positions 70 to 731 of the family's 1533-position model. Lineage: Bacteria; Pseudomonadati; Bacteroidota; Bacteroidia; Bacteroidales. The record is from RNAcentral.